Molecule: ribosomal RNA, 450 nt
Filed under: uncultured Glomeromycotina
Lineage: Eukaryota; Fungi; Glomeromycota
Also listed under: 1 other name
Description: SSU rRNA
Rfam family: Eukaryotic small subunit ribosomal RNA
Source: RNAcentral
CGCAGCCGCGGUAAUUCCAGCUCCAAUAGCGUAUAUUAAAGUUGUUGCAGUUAAAAAGCUCGUAGUUGAAUUUCGGGAUUGGCGCAUCGGUCGUGCCUCACGGGGUAUGAACUGGUGCAGUCAAUUUCUCACCUUCUGGAGAACCGCGAUGUCCUUAAUUGGAUGCCGCGGGGAACCAGGACCUUUACUUUGAAAAAUUAGAGUGUUUAAAGCAGGCAUUUUUGCUUGAAUACAUUAGCAUGGAAUAAUAAAAUAGGACGGCAUGGUUCUAUUUUGUUGGUUUCUAGGACCACCGUAAUGAUUAAUAGGGAUAGUUGGGGGCAUUAGUAUUCAAUUGUCAGAGGUGAAAUUCUUGGAUUUAUUGAAGACUAACUACUGCGAAAGCAUUUGCCAAGGAUGUUUUCAUUAAUCAAGAACGAAAGUUAGGGGAUCGAAGACGAUCAGAUACCG